This 76-nucleotide transfer RNA is filed under the name Rhodospirillaceae bacterium. Its description in RNAcentral is "tRNA-Ala". It matches the Rfam family "tRNA". Rfam says of the family: Transfer RNA (tRNA) molecules are approximately 80 nucleotides in length. Their secondary structure includes four short double-helical elements and three loops (D, anti-codon, and T loops). RNAcentral also lists the same sequence under 1 other name. Lineage: Bacteria; Pseudomonadati; Pseudomonadota; Alphaproteobacteria; Rhodospirillales; Rhodospirillaceae. The record is from RNAcentral.
GGGGCCGUAGCUCAGUUGGGAGAGCGCUACAAUGGCAUUGUAGAGGCCGUCGGUUCGAUUCCGUCCGGCUCCACCA